AAGAUCAGGAGCAUGUGUACUAAAAUUGGAAUGAUACAGGGAAAAUUAGCAUGGCCCCUGUGCAAGGAUAACACACAAAUUCGUGAAGCGUUCCAUAUUUUU
This is a small nuclear RNA of Podarcis raffonei (Aeolian wall lizard), 102 nucleotides long. The record is from RefSeq and is a predicted model, not a curated record. Lineage: Eukaryota; Metazoa; Chordata; Lepidosauria; Squamata; Lacertidae.